UUCUGUGCGCCGUUACCGUAAAGAGGGAUAAGUCCAAGCUAAUCUCGGAUUAAUUCCUUUAUAACUAGAAUUGGAACGGCAUCCAUUAGUCUGGAAACGAUUUCAUCGCACGUUCAGAAUAGGCAUGCGUAAGAUUUAGUUAGAUCGGUACGUCAACAGGCUUACCCAAGCACUGAAUGAUUCUUUAGGAGGGACUGACGAGGGUGAACCCCCCCCUAACUGGUACUGACGACACCGGACCAGAGUCCUUAGGGGGAGGCAGCAAUUGAGGAAUAUUGGACAAUGGGUUGGAAGCCUGAUCCAGCCAUCCGCGAUGUAGGAUGACGGCCUUAUUGGUUGUAAAUUACUUUUAUGUGGGGAUAAACCUACUCACGUGUAAGUAGCUGACGGUACCCAGAAAGAAUAAGCACUGGCUAACUCCGUGCCCAGCAGCCGCGGUAAUACGGAGGGUGCAAGCUUUAUCCGGAUUUAUUGGGUUUAAAGGGUCCGUAGGCGGAUUAAUCAGUCAGUGGUGAAAUCCCUUAGCUUAACUAAGGAACUGCCCAUUGAUACUGUUAGUCUUGAGUGAGGUUGCAGUGGCUGGAAUGUGUAGUGUAGCGGUGAAAUGCUUAGAUAUUACGCAGAACACCAAUUGCGAAGGCAGGUCACUAAGCCUCAACUGACGCUGAUGGACGAAAGCGUGGGGAGCGAACAGGAUUAGAUACCCUGGUAGUCCACGCCGUAAACGAUGGAUACGUGCUGUCGGAUUUUCGGAUUCAGUGGCUAAGCGAAAGUUAUAAGUAUCCCACCUGGGGAGUACGUUCGCAAGAAUGAAACUCAAAGGAAUUGACGGGGGCCCGCACAAGCGGUGGAGCAUGUGGUUUAAUUCGAUGAUACGCGAGGAACCUUACCAAGGCUUAAAUGCAUAAUGACGUAUUUGGAAACAGAUAUUUCUUCGGACAGAAUGCAAGGUGCUGCAUGGCUGUCGUCAGCUCGUGCCGUGAGGUGUUAGGUUAAGUCCUGCAACGAGCGCAACCCCUAUCCUUAGUUGCCAGCGUUUAAAGACGGGGACUCUAAUGAGACUGCCGGUGCAAACCGCGAGGAAGGUGGGGACGACGUCAAGUCAUCACGGCCCUUACGUCUUGGGCUACACACGUGCUACAAUGGUAAGUACAGAGGGCAGCUACUUAGCAAUAAGAUGCGAAUCUCAAAAACUUAUCUCAGUUCGGAUUGGAGUCUGCAACUCGACUCUAUGAAGCUGGAAUCUGCUAGUAAUCGCCAUUUCAGUAUCAGGGCGGACAAACCC
RNAcentral lists this ribosomal RNA (1285 nucleotides) under Empedobacter sp. CZS-10 4B. RNAcentral describes it as "bacterial SSU rRNA". It matches the Rfam family "Bacterial small subunit ribosomal RNA", at positions 113 to 1369 of the family's 1533-position model. The record is from RNAcentral. Lineage: Bacteria; Pseudomonadati; Bacteroidota; Flavobacteriia; Flavobacteriales; Weeksellaceae.